GCCGAGGUGGGGUAGUUUGGUUAUCCUGCGGGUCUGUGGAACCCGCGACCCGGGUUCAAAUCCCGGCCUCGGCC
This 74-nucleotide transfer RNA is filed under the name Candidatus Altarchaeales archaeon. Its description in RNAcentral is "Candidatus Altiarchaeales archaeon tRNA-His". It matches the Rfam family "tRNA". Rfam says of the family: Transfer RNA (tRNA) molecules are approximately 80 nucleotides in length. Their secondary structure includes four short double-helical elements and three loops (D, anti-codon, and T loops). Lineage: Archaea; Nanobdellati; Candidatus Altarchaeota; Candidatus Altarchaeia; Candidatus Altarchaeales. The record is from RNAcentral.